UAGAUGAAUAGAGCCGGCCACUGGAUUCCUGGAGGAAAGGCUGCGGAACGUCAGGAAGCGGCUGAGAUCAACCAGCAGGUCGCAGAGCACGGCACAGACACCACCACAAACGCCAGAUGAUGGCGCUCUAGCAAGGGCUCUCAUACCAGAAUGUACCAUAUCAGACGAACGUGGGUCACAGCUUAAAGAAUGGUUGAGAAAUAAUUCUCAGCCCCUCAGCCAGAUAGAGAACUACAUGCGGAACACAGCAGUCUACAGGGCCAAGUGGAUUAGGGACAACAAUUGGACCAUCGAUCAGAUCCUCGAAGAGUUCCCUCACCUAAUGACCAAAGGCAUGAUUGCACAGGCUUGUCCUGCAUGGGGAUGCUGCAUCAAAGUUGUUUGAAACUUGGUCAAGUGAAAUGCCAGGAGGGGAGUCUAAAAU
Perca flavescens (yellow perch) is the source of this 424-nucleotide long non-coding RNA. RefSeq lists it as uncharacterized. Lineage: Eukaryota; Metazoa; Chordata; Actinopteri; Perciformes; Percidae. The transcript has 3 exons. The record is from RefSeq and is a predicted model, not a curated record.